GGGGACUGGCCGCAGGACAGCCUGUGCGUAGGUGGUCCUUUUACAUCGUAGACGCGGACCCAGCCCUGCUGCUGGCACACCGAGUCCAGCAGGACGCGGUCCAGCGCUCCGCCCGCCGCCUCCAGCUCGUCCGAGCCCAGCUCCGGCUCCGCCAGCGCCUCGGCCGCCCAGGCCGCCGGCUCGCUCGCCGCGGGGGCCGCCUCCAUGGCGAGGAG
Molecule: long non-coding RNA, 215 nt
Filed under: Gallus gallus (chicken)
Lineage: Eukaryota; Metazoa; Chordata; Aves; Galliformes; Phasianidae
Source: RNAcentral